AUGUCUAAGUUCAAGCACUUGUACUGUGAAACUGCGAAUGGCUCAUUAUAACAGUUAUAGUUUAUUUGGUAAAUUUUUAUAUGGAUAACCGUAGUAAUUCUAGAGCUAAUACAUGUAUCCUUCGGGAGCGUUUAUUGGAAGUAACCAACUAUUUUUGGUGAGUCACAAUAAAUAAGCAUAUCGCUAGUCGAUAAACCAUUCAAGUUUCUGCCCUAUCAGCUGUAGAUGGUAGAGUAUUGUACUAACAUGGCUAAAACGGGUGACGGAGGAUUGGGGUCUGAUUCCGGAGAGGGAGCCUGAGAAACGGCUACCACUUCCAAGGAAGGCAGCAGGCGCGUAAAUUACCCAAUCCCAAUACGGGGAGGUAGUGACAAGAAAUAACAAUACCGGGCUUUUACAAGUCUGGUAAUUGGAAUGAGUACAAUUCAAAAUCCUUAUCGAGGAGCAAUUGGAGGGCAAGUCUGGUGCCAGCAGCCGCGGUAAUACCAGCUCCAGAAGCGUAUAUUAAUACUGUUGCAGUUAAAAGGCUCGUAGUCGAUUUUUUGAAAUAUAUGUGAGGUUAUGUAUCUAGUAUACACAAGCAUCAUGUAAUUUCAUCCUUUUGGAGAUAAUCUCUGCUCUUGAUUGAGUUAGUUUUGAUAUCCAAAUCGUUUACUGUGAGUUAAUCAAAGUGUUCAAAGCGGAUCGAAGUCCAGAAUGCUGCAGCAUGGAAUAAUACUAUAGAACUUGGAAUCUAUUUGUUGGCUUCUAGAAUCGAAGUAAUGAUUGAAAGAGGUAGUUGGGGGUGCUAGUAUUUGAUGGUCAGCGGUGAAAUGCACAGACCCGUUAAAGACUCACUAAAGCGAAAGCAUUCACCAAGGAUAUUUUCUUUGAUCAAGAACGAAAGUUGGGGGAUCGAAGACGAUCAGAUACCGUCGUAGUCUCAACCUUAAACCGUGCCGACUAGAGAUUGGCGAAUGUUGAUUAUAGACCUCGUCAGCAGCUUUUGAAGAAAUUAUAGUCUUUGGGUUCUGGGGGGAGUAUGGUCGCAAGGCUGAAAUUUAAAGGAAUUGACGGAAGGGCGCCACCAGGAGUGGAGCUUGCGGCUUAAUUUGACUCAACACGGGGAAACUUACCAGGUCCGGACAUAGUAAGGAUUGACAGAUUGCAGAUCUUUCUAGAUUCUAUGGGUGGUGGUGCAUGGCCGUUCUUAGUUGGUGGAGUGAUUUGUCUGGUUAAUUCCGUUAACGAACGAGACCUCAACCUACUAGUUAGUUUUUCCAAAUUUGUUGUCACCAACAUCUUAGGGGGACCAUUGGCGAUUAGCUGAUGUAGGAUUGAGGCUAUAACAGGUCUGUGAUGCCCUUAGAUGUUCUGGGCUGCACGCGCGCUACACUGUUAUAUGCAACGUGUAUUCCAAAUAGAAAUAUUUGGUUGAUCUCAUAAAUAAUUUACGUGACGGGGCUUGACAUCUGCAAAUAUUUGUCACUAACGAGGAAUUCCUAGUAAUUCUUGGUCAUCAGCUGAGAUUGAAUACGUCCCUGCCCUUUGUACACACCGCCCGUCGCUCCUACCGAUUGAAUGUCCCGGUGAACACUUUGGAGUAGUUGUUCUUGCUAAAAGCUUCCAGUAACAAAGCUGUGUUAACCUUAACAUUUAGAGGAAGGAGAA
RNAcentral lists this ribosomal RNA (1650 nucleotides) under uncultured marine eukaryote. RNAcentral describes it as "SSU rRNA". It matches the Rfam family "Eukaryotic small subunit ribosomal RNA". The record is from RNAcentral.